Molecule: ribosomal RNA, 1472 nt
Filed under: metagenome
Description: bacterial SSU rRNA
Rfam family: Bacterial small subunit ribosomal RNA
Source: RNAcentral
AGAGUUUGAUCCUGGCUCAGGACGAACGCUGGCGGCGCGCCUAACACAUGCAAGUCGAACGAGCGAGAGAGAGCUUGCUUUCUCGAGCGAGUGGCGAACGGGUGAGUAACGCGUGAGGAACCUGCCUCAAAGAGGGGGACAACAGUUGGAAACGACUGCUAAUACCGCAUGAGCCCACGGGUCGGCAUCGACCAGAGGGAAAAGGAGCAAUCCGCUUUGAGAUGGCCUCGCGUCCGAUUAGCUAGUUGGUGAGGUAACGGCCCACCAAGGCAACGAUCGGUAGCCGGACUGAGAGGUUGAACGGCCACAUUGGGACUGAGACACGGCCCAGACUCCUACGGGAGGCGGCAGUGGGGAAUAUUGCACAAUGGAGGAAACUCUGAUGCAGCGAUGCCGCGUGAGGGAAGAAGGUUUUAGGAUUGUAAACCUCUGUCUUCAGGGACGAAAAAAGACGGUACCUGAGGAGGAAGCUCCGGCUAACUACGUGCCAGCAGCCGCGGUAAUACGUAGGGAGCGAGCGUUGUCCGGAAUUACUGGGUGUAAAGGGAGCGUAGGCGGGAUCGCAAGUCAGAUGUGAAAACUAUGGGCUUAACCCAUAAACUGCAUUUGAAACUGUGGUUCUUGAGUGAAGUAGAGGUAAGCGGAAUUCCUAGUGUAGCGGUGAAAUGCGUAGAUAUUAGGAGGAACAUCAGUGGCGAAGGCGGCUUACUGGGCUUUAACUGACGCUGAGGCUCGAAAGCGUGGGGAGCAAACAGGAUUAGAUACCCUGGUAGUCCACGCCGUAAACGAUGAUUACUAGGUGUGGGGGGACUGACCCCUUCCGUGCCGCAGCAAACGCAAUAAGUAAUCCACCUGGGGAGUACGACCGCAAGGUUGAAACCCAAAGGAAUUGACGGGGGCCCGCACAAGCAGUGGAGUAUGUGGAUUAAUUCGAAGCAACGCGAAGAACCUUACCAGGUCUUGACAUCGUAUGCAUAGCUCAGAGAUGAGUGAAAUCUCUUCGGAGACAUAUAGACAGGUGGUGCAUGGUUGUCGUCAGCUCGUGUCGUGAGAUGUUGGGUUAAGUCCCGCAACGAGCGCAACCCUUACUGUUAGUUGCUACGCAAGAGCACUCUAGCAGGACUGCCGUUGACAAAACGGAGGAAGGUGGGGAUGACGUCAAAUCAUCAUGCCCCUUAUGACCUGGGCCUCACACGUACUACAAUGGCUGUCAACAGAGGGAAGCAAAGCCGCGAGGUGGAGCGAACCCCUAAAAGCAGUCUUAGUUCGGAUUGUAGGCUGCAACCCGCCUACAUGAAGUCGGAAUUGCUAGUAAUCGCAGAUCAGCAUGCUGCGGUGAAUACGUUCCCGGGCCUUGUACACACCGCCCGUCACGCCAUGGGAGUCGGUAACACCCGAAGCCUGUAGUCUAACCGCAAGGAGGACGCAGUCGAAGGUGGGAUUGAUGACUGGGGUGAAGUCGUAACAAGGUA